GUAAAUGCUUGACGCGGUUUAGACCGACUGGAGGACUCGAGCCUAGGGUUUUUUGGUUGGUCUGCCCACCAGCGCGCGUACGACCACACUUGAUAGCCAAAGCCAAAGUGAUAUACCCUCCUCCCCGCCGCCGCUUCCACGCCUAACUCUAGUGCCGCCGCCAGUGGUUGUGCUCUGCCCCCUCCAGCGGAAAUCUCUUUGGACGGGGCGGCGAAUACGGGGAGUCGCCGCAGAUGGCGGACCGUUUGACCCGUAUCGCGAUCGUGAGCGAGGACAAGUGCAAGCCCAAGAAGUGCCGCCAGGAGUGCAAGAAGAGCUGCCCCGUUGUCAAGACCGGAAAGCUUUGCAUUGAAGUUAGUCCAGCGGCCAAACUUGCAUUCAUUUCUGAAGAGCUGUGUAUUGGUUGUGGUAUUUGUGUUAAGAAAUGCCCAUUUGAUGCCAUUGAAAUCAUCAAUCUUCCAAAAGAUUUGGAGAAAGAUACUACCCAUCGCUAUGGACCGAAUACCUUCAAAUUGCACAGGUUGCCUGUUCCAAGACCUGGUCAAGUUUUGGGUCUUGUUGGAACCAAUGGAAUUGGGAAGUCAACAGCACUUAAAGUCUUAGCUGGCAAGCUGAAGCCCAAUCUGGGACGAUUCAAAAAUCCACCUGACUGGCAAGAGAUCCUUACAUAUUUCCGUGGGUCUGAACUUCAGAACUAUUUUACGCGCAUAUUGGAGGAUAACCUGAAGGCAAUCAUCAAGCCGCAGUAUGUUGACCAUAUUCCAAAAGCUGUUCAAGGAAAUGUAGGGCAAGUACUUGAGCAGAAAGAUGAGCGGGAUAUGAAAAAUGAGCUGUGCGUUGACCUUGAAUUGAACCAAGUUAUUGACAGAAAUGUAGGAGAUCUGUCUGGUGGCGAGCUUCAGAGAUUUGCAAUAGCAGUUGUUGCUGUACAAAGUGCGGAAAUUUACAUGUUUGAUGAGCCAUCAAGUUAUUUGGACGUUAAACAGAGGCUUAAGGCUGCCCGAGUCAUUAGGUCUUUGCUUAGAUCAAACAGCUAUGUCAUCGUUGUCGAACAUGACUUGAGUGUCUUAGAUUACUUGUCCGACUUUAUUUGCUGCUUAUAUGGGAAGCCAGGUGCUUACGGUGUAGUUACGUUACCAUUUUCGGUCCGAGAAGGUAUCAAUAUUUUCCUGGCUGGAUUUGUUCCAACAGAAAACCUUCGGUUUCGAGAUGAAUCUCUUACAUUUAAGAUUGCGGAGACCCAGGAAAACGCAGAGGAAGUUGCUACGUACCAGCGGUACAAGUACCCUACCAUGAGCAAAACACAGGGAAAUUUCAAGCUCUCUGUCGUUGAGGGUGAAUUCACUGAUUCUCAGAUUGUUGUGAUGCUUGGUGAGAACGGCACAGGGAAAACUACAUUCAUCAGAAUGCUGGCCGGGUUGUUGAAGCCAGAUACCAUGGAAGGAAGUGAGGUUGAAAUUCCUGAAUUCAAUGUGUCCUACAAGCCUCAAAAGAUCAGCCCAAAAUUCCAGCAUCCAGUGAGGCACUUGCUGCAUUCGAAAAUACGCGAUUCAUAUACUCAUCCUCAGUUUGUAUCUGAUGUUAUGAAACCACUACAAAUUGAGCAACUCAUGGACCAGGAAGUCAUUAAUUUAUCAGGUGGAGAGCUCCAGAGAGUAGCAUUAUGUUUGUGCCUUGGAAAGCCUGCAGAUAUUUAUUUAAUUGAUGAGCCAAGUGCAUAUCUCGAUUCAGAGCAGCGUAUUGUUGCCUCGAAGGUUAUCAAAAGAUUCAUCCUUCAUGCAAAGAAAACUGCAUUUAUUGUGGAGCAUGAUUUCAUCAUGGCAACCUACUUAGCGGACAAGGUUAUUGUUUAUGAGGGACUUGCUUCUAUUGACUGUACUGCCAAUGCACCACAGUCUUUGGUAUCUGGGAUGAAUAAAUUCUUAUCGCUGAAGGGGCAUCAGACAAUCUCUUGGCAAAUUCACAUGGCCUAACAACUCCCACAUGAGAAAAACAACCACCACAAGAUCCCUCAAAAUUGCCCAUUAUUGAACUACAUGAUUCUUGCUACAAUGUCCAAACCAACAUCAGACCUUGCGGUAACUUAGAAGCAUCUUGACAUUACAUUUAGAAGAGACCCGACCAACUAUAGGCCACGAAUCAACAAACUGGAAUCAACGAAGGACAGAGAACAAAAGAAUGCAGGGUCCUACUACUACCUAGAUGAUUAAUGAGAGGGGCCAGCGCAGAUUCUUGUUGGACGUCAAUAAUGUUCCGAACCCUUCUGGAUCAUGCGCAAGGCUAACGAGAAGUUGCCAUGACGUGUGUCCAUGGGACAUGCGAAUUGGCCACAGGAGUGAAGCGCAUCGAGUGUGGUGCCUGGGUUUCAAAGAAGCGCAUGUGUUGAAACUGUACUUUUUGUUGGUUUGAGCUGUGGGGAGAACGAUCGUCAGUUUUCUUGUAUUUGCAUUGCUGUAUCAUGGCUUUACCAUCUCAUAUUUUUCUAUCGUGAAAUCUUAUAAUGCAUAUUCUCUUGGAGCUUA
RNA transcript from Triticum aestivum (bread wheat), 2522 nucleotides. It is a transcript of the gene named ABC transporter E family member 2, with no coding region annotated. The record is from RefSeq and is a predicted model, not a curated record. The transcript is spliced from 13 exons. NCBI's taxonomy places the organism in Eukaryota, Viridiplantae, Streptophyta, Magnoliopsida, Poales, Poaceae.